ACCUACUGUUUAAUUUUGAGGGUUCGUUUUUACGAAUACUCAAAAUUAGCACUUUAAGCAACGGGAUUUAUGCGUUGGCGCUGUGCGUUAGCACUUUGAAAACUGCAUAUAUAUUUAGUGAUAUGACAUCUAAUUUGUAAUAUAUAAAGCUGAUAACUUUUUAAAAUUAUCGAAGUUGAUAGCUUCUAAUCUAUCAAACCUUUAUAACUGGUCAA
Molecule: unclassified non-coding RNA, 215 nt
Filed under: Clostridioides difficile
Lineage: Bacteria; Bacillati; Bacillota; Clostridia; Peptostreptococcales; Peptostreptococcaceae
Description: 16S-23S ribosomal RNA intergenic spacer (ISR)
Source: RNAcentral